UGCUGGGCAGAGGAUCAAACUUCAGGUCAGCAAGAGGACGGAUGGGCCAGCAGCCCCAGGGCAUCUUUCUGACUGACUGAGUCAAUCUCUCAACUCUGUGUGCAAACCUGACCUCCCCUCCUUGGACACAGCCUUCAUUUUCCAGUCCUGAGUCAUCUCCGGGAACCUUCUGUCCAGGCCACCAGCCAGCUGUCUCCCCAGACUCCAAGAUUGCUCAGAAGUUCCAAAGAGAAACUUUGCAACUGUGGAGCAGAGAAUCCAGACGACCCCUUGACUGCAUUCAAAACUGACUAAGAGCUGAUGGACGUUAUGUGAUCUCGGACCAGACAGCAUGAUGGGACAUUUGUGAGAACACAGUAUGUAAGUGAAGCAGAGAAGUGUUAGAUGAAACAUAUUAUCUGUAUUGUUCAAAACACCAUUGUUAUGCCAAGGAAAUAUCCCAGAUUUAAAAAGACCAAAGACACAAGAUAGGGAAAUGAGAUAUGGCAUCCUAGACUGAAUCCCAGGGAAAUGGACAACACUGGAAUGUUGGUUUUGUUUUAGUUAGAAUUUUAUGCCUAUGAUAAAUUUCCUGAAUGUGUGAACUCUAUUAUAAUUAUAUAGAAAAUAUUCUCCUUUUAGGAAAUACUGAUGGAUUAAUGGGUUAAGG
Molecule: long non-coding RNA, 649 nt
Filed under: Heterocephalus glaber (naked mole-rat)
Lineage: Eukaryota; Metazoa; Chordata; Mammalia; Rodentia; Bathyergidae
Description: lncRNA (ENSHGLG00000031320.2)
Source: RNAcentral